Molecule: long non-coding RNA, 1091 nt
Organism: Trichomycterus rosablanca
Lineage: Eukaryota; Metazoa; Chordata; Actinopteri; Siluriformes; Trichomycteridae
Exons: 2
Source: RefSeq, a predicted model, not a curated record
CAAGCAGGAUUGAGAAAAUCAUGUUAGCCUUUCAGCAGGAACGUUGAUCAGGGCUAGCGCUGUAAACACACACACACACACACACACACACAUACACAGGCGUAGGUGAGGGUCUCCCAGGGGACGUGAGAAGUUGUCUUUUCAGACGCACACAAACAGGCUCAGGCGGUAAACAGGCGGAUUCUGCUGAAACAAAGCAGAAUGGAAAUGGCGGAUGAUGUCUGGAUCGAACCAUCGUGCUCACUAGCAGGGGGGUUCCUGAAAACAAAAGGAAAGAAGGAGGUUUAAUACAGGGCUGAACCAUCACGCCUAAAAAAGAGGGGUACUCUUAUAAUCUUAGCAGAGAAGUCAGCAGCAUCAAAUCUGAAGAGGAAGAAAGACUGAACAGAUGAUCGUAUUUCUGCAGAUCCAUAGGAGUUCCUGGAGGACCGAAAGGAGAGAUGAAGUGUGUUAAAGGUGCAAAAACGGUAAUUCAGGACACUGCUGCAGGUACCUAAAGGAGGCAAAAGGAUCAAACCCGAGACCCUGAAACCCACCCGGUGGAGGAGUGGAGAGAGGAAGGUGGUGGGGCCAGGAGACAGGGAGUGGAGCCAAGGAGAGGGGUUCCAGAAAGGUUGGAAGAGGUUCCAGACAGUGACAGAGAAGCUGCAGAACCGCUGUGCUGGUGUGUUGUAUGGAGCUUGAUGCUGCACUUCCAUGGUUGAAUUCUGAGCCAGUCUGCCGCUGCUAUCUUCAAAGCGCCUCAAAUGAGAUGAACUGUUUGAUAUGACGUGGUAAAAGUGACCCAGAAAAUACGACCAGCAGCGCAAAUCCCCACAGUUAAUCUAAACGCCCCGCCAUCAUGUUACUUCUCUUUACUUUUGUUGCGCAACACUCACCAUUGAUGACGCAGGCUUGGUUCCCAAAAAGUGGUGGAAACGCGGGUCGGUUCUCUAAAAAACAACAAGAACAGAACCGGUUCAGGAACCAGAGUUCUUUUGGUGAGUGAUUUUGGACCCAAAGUGCAAGCUACGAUGAUGACAUACGGCAACAUAAAACAAUGGAUAUACUUUCUGGAAGGAAUAAAAAGCAUUAAACAUUUAAAAACAUCA